Non-coding RNA from Paramuricea clavata, 381 nucleotides. NCBI's taxonomy places the organism in Eukaryota, Metazoa, Cnidaria, Anthozoa, Malacalcyonacea, Plexauridae. The record is from the annotation of a GenBank genome assembly.
GUUGACAACAUGUAACAAGCAGUGCGAAUACAUCUUGUUGAAGGCUUGUUGGCAGACUUGUUACAAGAUGUGAGAUUUUUACGUGUGUAAAGGACACAUAUUUGCAAGCACGGUCUUGUUUUGUUAUAGACAGUGAUAAAUCCCCCCCCCCUAUAUGCCUCUCGGUCACGUGAUACCCCUCCCCCCUUUUGUGACACUAUGUGACUCCUGAUGAAACACCCCAUACCCCCACGGGCGUCACGUAUUUUGUGAAUGGCCCCUUAUUGUGAUGUAAGAAAAAGAGUUAAGUGGCGAAAAUAUGUACUAUUUAAGGCACUCGUAGGAGUGUUUUAUCAGAUAUAAAACGCGAGGCGCAGCCACGAGUGCUUUAAAUGGCUUAAA